UUGGGCGGGCAGGGGAUGACAAGGCUUCCACUCCUGGGAGCAAGAGUCCCGCCCCCCGGCCGGGAUGGACCAAUCCCAAGGCCUCUCCUUCCGGGCCUCGGGGAUUGGUCCGAGAGCGCACAUGAUCCAGCGCACGUGACCAAGGCGGCGGCGUCUUUCAGUCGGGUUAGUAUCCGCGCGGGGGAAGGGCCUUAGAGACCCAGACUCGAAACCAGGGUUCCGGACAGCGAAGCUCGUGGCCUGUCGGCCGAGUCUCGACCUCCACACGGGGCGACAGCAAGUCGGGUUCGAAUAGUUGCUAAAUUAAAAGCCCGCCUAAAACGUGAGCUGGACCUCAGUUCCCUCGCCUGUGAACCAGUGUUGGCGGAAGAACAAGGUUGCCCGAGGCCCAUGUGAGGCUAGGGGCGUGGAAGUGCACUGCCCAGUAGGAAGCGGGCCGAGUGCCUGGCGGGACUCAGCGGCCCUGGGGAGCGGGCAAGCGGUUCCAUCUGCCCAGAAAGGUGACCGUGGUUCGCGGGUUGAGCAGAGCAGAGCCCCCUGCCUUGGCUGACUUCAGCGACCAGUCGUACAUAUCCUAGGGCAGCGGGCCUAGGCCAGCUCCUGCUUGAGGGGGGCAGGAACAGGGAGACGGAGGGAAGAUGUCGGUGCAGACGGUCCUGCUCUGCCCGGUUCCCGCAGGCAAGAUUCUAGUUAAGUGACACCAAUCCCCCAGCACGGUUCUGAUCCCAGUGACCGCAGCGUGUUCACCUGAGUAACUGUGUCAAGUACCAACUGCUGCGGGCUACUCAGCCCGCAGACCGAUAGCAGACGCGCCAGAGCCACCUCCUGACGCGACGCUGCCUUCAAAGCCAUUGGUCACCCCACACCUGCUCCUCAGUUCCCAGGCAGCCGUGAUCAACCCACUUUCCAUGUUACAAAAAGGCAUCACUGGCCAAAAGGUGAACGUGCAGGAGAGGCACAGAGCGCUAAUACCGCUGAAAGGGCCGCUCGGGGGGAACAGUGACGGGGCCCUGGGAGGAAGAGCUGACAGAGAGGUCGCAGACUCUGCCGCUGCUCCAGAGAUGGACAUGCAUGGCCGGAGGAACCUGGUGACACAACGUGUAGACAUGAGUGAGGACGGUGACGAGAAGGAUGAAUACGCCUCAAGGAGGUGGUCCCAGCAGAAAACUUCACGGUAAAGGGCUCAGAGGUGUUUCAGUCACUGACAGUGCAAAGAUCAUGGUGGAGGCUGAUCCAGACCUAGGAGGGACAAGACCCUUCACCGUGGAGGAGGGAAGACAUUCCCCCCUGUUGUAAGUUACACAGUGAGCAGAAGGUGAGCUCUGUUCCAACUACUGUUGACAAGUUUUUUUUUUUAAUCAUAAAAUACUAUUAUUGGAGCAUCUGCACCAUUAAAGAAUUUUAUUUUAAUUUAAAAUAUAUAAAAGAAAAGUAUGUUUAUAUAUAAAACCUUAUUCAUGUAUUUGCCAAUUGUACUAGAUACAUAGUUGCUUUCAACCCUCCUUUAACCCCUUAUCUAUUUGCAGAGCUUGGAAAACUCUGCAAAAAAUCUAUGUUUCCCAGACUCUCUUGCAGUAUAGUCGAUUAAAAUGUUUCUGGUGUACAGCAUAGUGA
Vicugna pacos (alpaca) is the source of this 1614-nucleotide non-coding RNA. Lineage: Eukaryota; Metazoa; Chordata; Mammalia; Artiodactyla; Camelidae. The record is from RefSeq and is a predicted model, not a curated record.